RNAcentral lists this ribosomal RNA (920 nucleotides) under uncultured archaeon. RNAcentral describes it as "bacterial SSU rRNA". It matches the Rfam family "Archaeal small subunit ribosomal RNA", at positions 1 to 922 of the family's 1478-position model. The record is from RNAcentral.
UUCCGGUUGAUCCUGCCGGAAGUCAUUGCUAGUGGAGUCCGAUUUAGCCAUGCUAGUUGCACGAGUUCAGGCUCGUAGCAGAUAGCUCAGUAACACGUGGCCAAACUACCCUACAGAGCGCGAUAACCUCGGGAAACUGAGGCUAAUAGCGCAUACGGCUCUCACGCUGGAACUGCGGAGAGCUCGAAACGCCCCGGCGCUGUAGGAUGUGGCUGCGGCCGAUUAGGUAGACGGUGGGGUAACGGCCCACCGUGCCAGUAAUCGGUACGGGUUGUGAGAGCAAGAGCCCGGAGACGGUAUCUGAGACAAGAUACCGGGCCCUACGGGGCGCAGCAGGCGCGAAACCUUUACACUGCACGCCAGUGCGAUAAGGGGACUCCAGGUGCGAGGGCAUAUAGUCCUCGCUUUUGUACACCGUAAGGUGGUGUACGAAUAAGUGCUGGGCAAGACCGGUGCCAGCCGCCGCGGUAAUACCGGCAGCACGAGUGAUGACCGCUAUUAUUGGGCCUAAAGCGUCCGUAGCUGGCCAGGCAAGUCCGUCGGGAAAUCUCCCCGCCCAACGGGGAGGCGUCCGGUGGAAACUGUCUGGCUUGGGACCGGAAGAUCCAGAGGGUACGUCCGGGGUAGGAGUGAAAUCCCGUAAUCCUGGACGGACCACCGGUGGCGAAAGCGCUCUGGAAAGACGGAUCCGACGGUGAGGGACGAAAGCUCGGGUCACGAACCGGAUUAGAUACCCGGGUAGUCCGAGCUGUAAACGAUGUCUGCUAGGUGUGCCACAGGCUACGAGCCUGUGGUGUGCCGUAGGGAAGCCGUGAAGCAGACCGCCUGGGAAGUACGUCCGCAAGGAUGAAACUUAAAGGAAUUGGCGGGGGAGCACUACAACCGGAGGAGCCUGCGGUUUAAUUGGAUUCAACGCCGGA